Molecule: unclassified non-coding RNA, 358 nt
Filed under: soil metagenome
Description: partial contains 5.8S ribosomal RNA, internal transcribed spacer 2, and large subunit ribosomal RNA
Rfam family: 5.8S ribosomal RNA (bases 1-120)
Source: RNAcentral
GAUGAAGAACGUAGUGAAAUGCGAUAAGUAAUGUGAAUUGCAGAAUUCAGUGAAUCAUCGAAUCUUUGAACGCACAUUGCGCCCGUCAGUAUUCUGGCGGGCAUGCCUGUUCGAGCGUCAUUACGCCCCUCAAGUCCCCUGUGGACUUGGUGUUGGGGAUCGGCGAGGCUGGUUUUCCAGCACAGCCGUCCAUUAAAUUAAUUGGCGGUCUCGCCGUGGCCCUCCUCUGCGCAGUAGUAAAACACUCGCAACAGGAGCCCGGCGCGGUCCACUGCCGUAAAACCCCCCAACUUUUUAUAGUUGACCUCGAAUCAGGUAGGACUACCCGCUGAACUUAAGCAUAUCAAUAAGCGGAGGA